GGGGGUAUAGCUCAGCUGGGAGAGCGCUUGAAUGGCAUUCAAGAGGUCAUGGGUUCGAAUCCCACUAUCUCCA
The sequence is a transfer RNA, 73 nucleotides long. It matches the Rfam family "tRNA". Rfam says of the family: Transfer RNA (tRNA) molecules are approximately 80 nucleotides in length. The record is from Rfam.